Molecule: ribosomal RNA, 449 nt
Filed under: uncultured bacterium
Lineage: Bacteria
Description: partial 16S ribosomal RNA
Rfam family: Bacterial small subunit ribosomal RNA
Source: RNAcentral
CUACGGGACGCAGCAGUGGGGAAUAUUGCGCAAUGGGCGAAAGCCUGACGCAGCAACGCCGCGUGAGUGAUGAAGGCCUUCGGGUCGUAAAGCUCUGUCGGGAGGGAAGAACACCUUCGGGUCUGACGGUACCCCCCGAGGAAGCACAGGCUAACUCCGUGCCAGCAGCCGCGGUAAUACGGAGUGUGCAAGCGUUGUUCGGAAUUACUGGGCGUAAAGCGCGCGUAGGCGGCUUGAUAAGUCAGAUGUGAAAUCACUCGGCUUAACCGAGGAACUGCAUUUGAAACUGUCAGGCUUGAGUACGGGAGGGGGAAGCGGAAUUCCCAGUGUAGAGGUGAAAUUCGUAGAUAUUGGGAGGAACACCAGCGGCGAAGGCGGCUUCCUGGACCGAUACUGACGCUGAGGCGCGAAAGCGUGGGGAGCAAACAGGAUUAGAUACCCUUGUAGUC